AGAUUUAAAUAUGACUUUAAUAACUGAAUAAAUACUUUUCUUCUACAAAAAUAUAGAGAGACACUCUCGUUGAAUAUUGUUUUAGUAACGUAUGGGUAAGAUUUUCUAAACGAAGUGUGGCAACCCCAAUUACUUAAUAAAAAAUAAAUAUGUUAUAAAAUGAAAAUGGCGUCAUUUCACCAAAUAAAACACGAAUUCACGAAUAAUAAAAUAAAUGUUUGCCACGGCCUGUUAAUAUUUAUGAAGACCUCUUCAUGGAUUGGAUUUAAGCAACCUGCUGUGUAAUAUCCUCGCCAUUCUUGAUGUUGAGAAGAUCUAUAAGUCUUUUGCGUUUCAUCUGAGUGUUGUGGUUUUUCAUUAUGUUAAAAAUAAGACUUUGUUAGUUCAAGUGUCUCUAUAACUAUGAAGAAGAACAAAAGAAAAUGCUUUGAGUGUGGUUCUUCGCCUGCCGAUGAUCCAGAGAAGACCCUACAGAGAUUACAGAAAUUUGAUUCUACAAAUUUAGUCUCCGUAAUGUCCAGAUAAUCAAUGAUUAGACUAUUGGACUUUUAGAAUAAAUUUUACAUUGAACUAUGAAUGGUUUGUCAUCUACAUUUUUAAAAAAGACGAGAUGUUUUGCCUGUAAGAACAAGAGAGAGAGAGAAUAAGAAGCAAUCCUGCUUCUUCACAUGAAUUUUACCCGCAUGACGACGGUUUUUAAUAUAAAAAAUAUUUACACAAUGUCUCAAAAAGCAAUCAAAGCUUUCAAAAAUAAACAAUGUUCGCAGAAGUUCAGUACCAACAAACUCACAAAAAAUGAGUUCAAAAUUUAGCAUUACUUGCAAGCCAGACUAAGAAAUUUCAAGAAGAUAAUUUAAAAGAAGACAAUAGAAUAAAAUAAUAUUAACACACAAUGCUUAGCAAAUAUAGCAUUAACAGAUGGAAACCAGGCAAUAGGUGUAGCAAAAUAGAAGAUGAAGGUCUAGCUGUGCCAGUCAGUGCUGAGCCACACAGUUGCUGCUGGCAUGUUUGCAAAAUAUCACAAGGUGUAGCAAAAUAGAAGAUGAAGGUCUAGCUGUGCCAGUCAGUGCUGAGCCACACAGUACAGUUGCUGCUGGCAUGUUUGCAAAAUAGCAGAAGGUGUAGCAAAAUAGAAGAUGAAGGUCUAGCUGUGCCAGUCAGUGCUGAGCCACACAGUUGCUGCUGGCAUGUUUGCAAAAUAUCACAAGGUGUAGCAAAAUAGAAGAUGAAGGUCUAGCUGUGCCAGUCAGUGCUGAGCCACACAGUUGCUGCUGGCAUGUUUGCAAAAUAGCAGAAGGUGUAGCAAAAUAGAAGAUGAAGGUCUAGCUGUGCCAGUCAGUGCUGAGCCACACAGUUGCUGCUGGCAUGUUUGCAAAAUAGCACAAGGUAACCUGCUUCAUCGUUAUUAUCAACCUAUUUUAACGACACUACAGAGCCAGACCUUAUAGAAAAGGGGUUAGGGAGCUUAGACCCACCACACUGCUACAAUAAAGGUUGGUGAGCUAAGGGAGAUAAAGUGAAAUUCAUUGUGGAUCACUAUCAGAUGUUAAUGAUAAUGACCUGGACGAGGCGCGGGAGUGUAAUACAAACAACUUACCAACUCCAGGCUGAGAACUGUAAAUUUCUUGGAAGAAAGAAAAACUCAGUAUCUGAUAGCCUGACCCAGGAUUCGAAGCCACGACCUCGUUAUCCAAAACCACAUUGGCUAACCAAUAUUAUAAUACUAGCGGACGCCCGCGAUUUCAACCGUGUGAUGUUCAGUUUUUGAACAUCCAGCGGGAACCAUGUUUCUGGGAUAAAAAGUAACCUAAAUAUUGCUCAAUAACUUCCUCUAUCUUCCAAUGAAAGUCCAAUUAAAAUCGGUUCAGCCGUUCCAAAGAUUAUCCCAGAGAAACAGAAACACAGACAGACAAAAAAUUUAAAAGACCUUGUUUGCAUUUUAGUAUUGUGUAUAUAAUUAUAAUCACUUGAAAAAACUAUUGAUAAAUUUCACUAAAAUUAACUUUUAUUCCUGAAAAAAUCAAGGGAGAUUUGUGAAAAACUGUAUUUCACGCGGUCAUUGUUGCUUGCCUCACCCUACUCAACUAAAUUAUUUUAUGAAUGAAUGAAUGAAAUUAUUUUAGUGUACAACAUGAUUUUUUUGAGACGAAUAUCUUACCAACUCAUGGAUUCACCAUGUGGGUGUCCAUCACGUGGCAGAGAGAAAAACGCUGAGCAGAGCUUGGACUUGUGAUCAAUGGACGUAAGGUUAAAGAAUUCCUUGACAAUUGAUUAACACUCCCCUUCUCUGCUCGUGUUGUUCUCCCUGCGUAGUAAGGUCUGCCAAAUUUGGUAACCCAAAUCUGCACUUCUAGAGAGACCAAGGUCUCAAAGCAAAUUAUAGAGAGAUUUUGCUGGUAAUCCUCUCGCACCUCUCUACGGCGUACAGACUAACCAUAUAGCCAUUUUAGUUAGUUCAUUUGUUAGGUCAUAACAUUUAUUCAGUUUUAUACUGUGGUCCUUUGGAAUGUUAGUCUCCCACGGGACAGUAAGCACUACAAGUACUAUG
Molecule: long non-coding RNA, 2548 nt
Organism: Bicyclus anynana (squinting bush brown)
Lineage: Eukaryota; Metazoa; Arthropoda; Insecta; Lepidoptera; Nymphalidae
Exons: 8
Source: RefSeq, a predicted model, not a curated record